AGUCGAGCGAACAGAAGGGAGCUUGCUCCCGGAUGUUAGCGGCGGACGGGUGAGUAACACGUGGGUAACCUGCCUGUAAGACUGGGAUAACUCCGGGAAACCGGAGCUAAUACCGGAUAGUUCCUUGAACCGCAUGGUUCAAGGAUGAAAGACGGUUUCGGCUGUCACUUACAGAUGGACCCGCGGCGCAUUAGCUAGUUGGUGGGGUAAUGGCUCACCAAGGCGACGAUGCGUAGCCGACCUGAGAGGGUGAUCGGCCACACUGGGACUGAGACACGGCCCCAGACUCCUACGGGAGGCAGCAGUAGGGAAUCUUCCGCAAUGGACGAAAGUCUGACGGAGCAACGCCGCGUGAGUGAUGAAGGUUUUCGGAUCGUAAAGCUCUGUUGUUAGGGAAGAACAAGUGCGAGAGUAACUGCUCGCACCUUGACGGUACCUAACCAGAAAGCCACGGCUAACUACGUGCCAGCAGCCGCGGUAAUACGUAGGUGGCAAGCGUUGUCCGGAAUUAUUGGGCGUAAAGGGCUCGCAGGCGGUUUCUUAAGUCUGAUGUGAAAGCCCCCGGCUCAACCGGGGAGGGUCAUUGGAAACUGGGAAACUUGAGUGCAGAAGAGGAGAGUGGAAUUCCACGUGUAGCGGUGAAAUGCGUAGAGAUGUGGAGGAACACCAGUGGCGAAGGCGACUCUCUGGUCUGUAACUGACGCUGAGGAGCGAAAGCGUGGGGAGCGAACAGGAUUAGAUACCCUGGUAGUCCACGCCGUAAACGAUGAGUGCUAAGUGUUAGGGGGUUUCCGCCCCUUAGUGCUGCAGCUAACGCAUUAAGCACUCCGCCUGGGGAGUACGGUCGCAAGACUGAAACUCAAAGGAAUUGACGGGGGCCCGCACAAGCGGUGGAGCAUGUGGUUUAAUUCGAAGCAACGCGAAGAACCUUACCAGGUCUUGACAUCCUCUGACAACCCUAGAGAUAGGGCUUUCCCUUCGGGGACAGAGUGACAGGUGGUGCAUGGUUGUCGUCAGCUCGUGUCGUGAGAUGUUGGGUUAAGUCCCGCAACGAGCGCAACCCUUGAUCUUAGUUGCCAGCAUUUAGUUGGGCACUCUAAGGUGACUGCCGGUGACAAACCGGAGGAAGGUGGGGAUGACGUCAAAUCAUCAUGCCCCUUAUGACCUGGGCUACACACGUGCUACAAUGGACAGAACAAAGGGCUGCGAGACCGCAAGGUUUAGCCAAUCCCAUAAAUCUGUUCUCAGUUCGGAUCGCAGUCUGCAACUCGACUGCGUGAANGCUGGAAUCGCUAGUAAUCGCGGAUCAGCAUGCCGCGGUGAAUACGUUCCCGGGCCUUGUACACACCGCCCGUCACACCACGAGAGUUUGUAACACCCGAAGUCGGUGAGGUAACCUUUAUGGAGCCAGCCGC
Molecule: ribosomal RNA, 1415 nt
Filed under: Bacillus altitudinis
Lineage: Bacteria; Bacillati; Bacillota; Bacilli; Caryophanales; Bacillaceae
Description: bacterial SSU rRNA
Rfam family: Bacterial small subunit ribosomal RNA
Source: RNAcentral